CUAAGAAUCAAAACAGCAUAAUCCGACGUGGAAGAAGGACUUGAAGAUAACACAAAUUUUCUUAUGGUGAAAUCUUUGAACAAGUAUAUCAAUUCCAAUUCUUGGUAAUGAUCAUAGUUCUUAGAUAUCUCAACAUCGGGAAGCUCAAUAAUUUGCUGAUGGUUUAAUGGAUGCAACAGAUUAACCUUGGAGUUUUUGAUGGAUUCAGUCAUCAGCCACCCUAGAGAUGAAUAGCACAAUUUGUCUUUAGUUUGUGGAAGAUCAAGUUUGUAAAUCUUAUCCCUUUUCAGGUCGUAAAACUCACGGAUAGUAGUACCUUUAUGCUCAGGGGGCAUAAGCCAUGGAACUUGAUGUGUUCUAGUAAAGUUUUCCUUGAUGGCAGCUAAACUCCAGGAUUUACAAACCGCGCGAAAGGAUAUAAAGUCCUCCAAGGAAACCACCCUUUGAGCGAUGGAGACAAUAAGAUCUUGAGGAAGAUUAGCCAUCUGAUGUUCACCAAUGUACGUUGAUGAUUAAUCAGAUUUAGUAGUGACAGAGAUCGAAGAGAAGGAUAGGUUGAGACUUGAGAGAGAGAAGCCACAAGUGAACAUUCUGAACUGUUGGGAAUGUGGUGGUAGUUGAGUUGGGGAAUGUAAGCAUAGUAGCAGAAUAUGGACCGGAAUAAGUCAUCCUGAAGGGGUCACAGUCAUUUAGAGCUUGACUACCCCCCUGUGUAUGCAAUGGCGGCAUGUGGUGAGUAGUCGAGUAUGCUCCAGAUGAUGUCACAUAUGCUGGAAACCCAGAAUGAACAUGCUGAAAAUACUGUGAUGGAGGAUCCCUCAUCAUUCCACCGAUUUGAGCCAAAGAAGCCAUAGAAUUACUGCUAUGAACACCCGUAGAAGCAAGCGGACCUUCGACAUGAUUACGUUGAUCCAGAGCACUACUAGUAUUCACCACAGAUGUAGCAUCAACCACAGUAGCAGGUACCUCACUAAUAAACCCCAGCAACACCUCAUCAUUACCCAAAUUCAAGGUAGGGAUAAGAGUUGAGCUACCUUCAGAUCUAGCCAUCGUAGAGGAUGAUCCCACGGAAACGGAGGUUAACUUCUGUGGAAUGACCGGCGAAGGCACAGAUCCAAACCUGACCGUCCCAUCCGGCUGAGGGAUGGCGGUGCUGCCGUGCUUAGUGAGUUGGAACUGCUUGAUCUCCUCCAUUAGCCCCGAUUUGAACCCGGCUAGGGUAUUAGCCACUGAUUCUUGGAUGUUAGCUUGCAUUUCAGCGAGCCGAUGCACCUGUAGUUCCAAUUCAUCUAGUUCCGAUUAUUAAACUCUAAUGCAGCUUAAUUAACCUAAUGAGUAAUUAGUCUGACCCACGUGU
Molecule: long non-coding RNA, 1357 nt
Organism: Rosa chinensis
Lineage: Eukaryota; Viridiplantae; Streptophyta; Magnoliopsida; Rosales; Rosaceae
Exons: 3
Source: RefSeq, a predicted model, not a curated record